AUGAUGGGACUUUCUUUUUUAGAGAUAAAGUCAGAUAUAGUAAGUCUCGUUAAUGGCCCAAAAAUAGAAAGUUACACUUUCAAGCUUAACUAGUGAAGUUACCUGUGCAUUUGCGGCAGAAUGAUACUAUAGAAUAUAAAAUACAAAUAAAAUAAAAUAAAAAUUUUAAAUUUUUUGAUUUGAUAUGGGACUUCAAUAAACUCAAAUAUAAAAUAUAAAAUAGAUAUAGGUAUAGAUAUAACAAAAUUUAUAAUUUCGAUAAAUAAAUCACACAUAAUAAUAAUAAAAUAAGCAAUAAAUUUUUUUUACCCCAUACACAUCUUCAUUGCACUAUCGACAUCGGAGAGGCAAAUUCCGAUCUUUACAUCGCCUUCGCCGCUAGUGUCCAGCUCCUCUUUAGUCACGACCAUAUCAAUCCCGUAUCCACAACUGCUUCUUCUCUCUCACUGACUCCAAAUUCAUCACCGUUUUCUUCUACAGCGCUCCGUCGCGAUCCUCGAAACCCUAAUUUCAAUCCACACACAACAAAAAAAUUUAAAAAGUUACAAAACAUGAGUCCUUUUUGUGCGCCAAGAAAAAAAGGAAAAAAAGAUAUGAAGAAAUGGAGAUUAAACCAUGUAAACAUAUUAAUUGAGAGAUAAGAGGAAGAAAAAAAAACAAUAUGAAAAAAAGAUAUGAAGAAAUAGAGAUGAAACCAUGUAAACAUAUUAAUUAAGAGAUAGGGAGGUUAGGAAGAUGAAGCAUUGGGUGGAGAUGGUAUUAUGUAAACACAUUAAUUGAGUGGGGGUUUAGGAAGAUGAAACAUUGGGUGAAAAUGGGAGUAGAAAGAGAGAAGAGGAAAGAGUGAAGGAGAAUUCACCACGUGGCAAAAAAUUAGGAGAAAUAAUGUAUAUAAUAAUAAUAAUAAUAAUAAUAAUAAUAAUAAUAAUAAUAUAAUAUAUAUAUAUAGAGUUGAGCUAGAAUACUAUCGAUAGCAAACGGACUCCGUUGUCAUCCAUUUGUUUUCGAUGAUAGAGCCUCCAAAUCGACGAUCGACACCGUUGAAUAUAAUCUAUACCACUUGAAGUAUUUAGAAAUUAAAUUUUAAAUCUUUUCGACAUCAUUUGCCUAAUGAUCAAAGAGUUUCAAAAUUUGUAAUUUUAAUGGUCGAUAUGAGGCGUUUUCUCAUUUAACGGCGUAAAGAUAUCUAAAUCAAUUGAAUUUUUGUUAGAAAAUUCUUUAAACUAUUUAAAACACGAUCUAUACUCUUGAUCUUGAUUACAAGACUCCUAUCAUCAUUUUUUAAAGGAUAUUCAUUUUCGGCCGUUCAUUUUUGUGUCCACUCGAUGGAUAAGAGAACAAUAUCGAAAAUGUAUGAAAUUUGAUUUCUAAAUACUUCAACUGUUAUAGAUCAUGUUCAACGGUGCCGAUUGUUGAUUUGGAGGUUCCAUCAUCGAAAACAAAUGGGUGGCAACGGAGCCCGUUUGCUAUCGAUAGUAUUCUAGCUCAACUCUAUAUAUAUAUAUAUAUAGGUAUAGAUAUAGAUAUAGAUAGCUUAGGGACCCGUGCGAUGCGGCGGGUAGAAAUACUUUAGUAAAAAUCUACAGAGUACAGAUUUAACAAACAAAUAAAAAUGUUAAAAAGAAACAGAAGAAAUAUUUAAAAUAUUAUGAAAGAUAAUAAAUAAUGAAAGAAAAACUAAAAAAGCUCAAAUUCACAUUUAACUAAUCAUAUAAAGAUAUUUAUCUAUCCUAUCAUCUUUCCUAACUCAAAUUAGAUUUCUCUUAAAAGCCAAUUAUUAUUACAUUUGCCUAUGAACAUCCAAAUUGUCAUGCCAUCAGCGAAUUAGUACGGAAUGUAAAAGAAUAGAAGAAAAAAAUAUAUGAUAGUCAUCAAAUAAAUUUAAAAAUAAUAAUAGUUAGUUUUUAACUACCGUUAAAUUGUAAAAACCCACUUUUCAUAUAUCUAUAAGCCAACAAUCUAUAUAUUAUAUUUAGUUUGUUGAUGCAAAUACUAAUUUAAUCAGUUUUUUUGAUAAUUUUACUCCAUCAAUUUUUGUGUAACUCAAAUGACUUAUUCAUGAACAAUAAUGUACAACAAAAAAAAAAGAGAAAUAAUAUUUUUAGAAGUUGUAGCCUCUAUCCACGACUUAGAUCAAAAUAAUAAUAACCAAGUCCACCACUCUACAUAUGCACUGUAAUCGGUUAAUCUUCUGCUGCGGUUUUGGGAGAUGAGGGAUGUCGGGGGGUUGGGAGAUGAGGAGGGAGCAGUUUUGGAAGAUGAGGGGUCUCGGGGGUUGGAAGAUGAGAAGGGAGCGGUUUUGGAAGAUGAGGGGUCUCGGGGGUUGAGAGAUGAGAGAGGAGCAAUUUUGGGAGAAGGAGGUAACGCCACGUCAGCAAGAUAUUGGGGAUUCAUAGAUUAGUAUAGAUAUUAUGCUGUGAUUUGCUCUUUUUUUUCUUUUUUUUUUU
This 2447-nucleotide long non-coding RNA is filed under the name Ananas comosus (pineapple). RNAcentral describes it as "long non-coding RNA (ACOM_LNC042313)". Lineage: Eukaryota; Viridiplantae; Streptophyta; Magnoliopsida; Poales; Bromeliaceae. The record is from RNAcentral.